Molecule: ribosomal RNA, 253 nt
Filed under: uncultured bacterium
Lineage: Bacteria
Description: partial 16S ribosomal RNA
Rfam family: Bacterial small subunit ribosomal RNA
Source: RNAcentral
UACAGAGGUCCCAAGCGUUGUUCGGAUUCAUUGGGCGUAAAGGGUGCGUAGGCGGCGCGGUAAGUCGGGUGUGAAAUCUCGGAGCUUAACUCCGAAACUGCAUUCGAUACUGCCGUGCUUGAGGACUGGAGAGGAGACUGGAAUUUACGGUGUAGCGGUGAAAUGCGUAGAUAUCGAGAGGAACACCUGCGGCGAAGGCGGGUAGCUGGGCCGACACUGACGCUGAGGCGCGAAAGCCAGGGGAGCGAACGGG